CCAGGAAUCCUGAAGAGAUUUGGGAGUGCCCGAAAGGGAACCUGGACACAGGUGCUGCAUGGCUGUCGUCAGCUCGUGUCGUGAGAUGUUGGGUUAAGUCCCGCAACGAGCGCAACCCUUAUCAUUAAUUGCCAUCAUUUAGUUGGGCACUUUAAUGACACUGCCGGUGACAAACCGGAGGAAGGUGGGGAUGACGUCAAGUCCUCAUGGCCCUUAUGGGUAGGGCUUCACACGUAAUACAAUGGUCGGUACAGAGGGUUGCCAAGCCGCGAGGCGGAGCUAAUCUCAGAAAGCCGAUCGUAGUCCGGAUUGCAGUCUGCAACUCGACUGCAUGAAGUCGGAAUCGCUAGUAAUCGCGGAUCAGCAUGUCGCGGUGAAUACGU
This 383-nucleotide ribosomal RNA is filed under the name uncultured bacterium. RNAcentral describes it as "bacterial SSU rRNA". It matches the Rfam family "Bacterial small subunit ribosomal RNA", at positions 989 to 1371 of the family's 1533-position model. The record is from RNAcentral.